GCAUAUCAAUAAGCGGAGGAAAAGAAACCAACAGGGAUUGCCCCAGUAACGGCGAGUGAAGCGGCAACAGCUCAAAUUUGAAAUCUGGUCCCCUUUGGGGGCCCGAGUUGUAAUUUGAAGAGGAUGCUUUUGGCGAGGCGCCGUCCGAGUUCCCUGGAACGGGACGCCGCAGAGGGUGAGAGCCCCGUACGGUCGGACGCCGAGCCUCUGUAAAGCUCCUUCGACGAGUCGAGUAGUUUGGGAAUGCUGCUCAAAAUGGGAGGUAAACCCCUUCUAAAGCUAAAUACCGGCCAGAGACCGAUAGCGCACAAGUAGAGUGAUCGAAAGAUGAAAAGCACUUUGAAAAGAGAGUUAAAAAGCACGUGAAAUUGUUAAAAGGGAAGCGCUUGCGACCAGACUUGCGCCCGUCGGAUCAACUGUCGCUUGCGGCGGUGCACUCCGGCGGGCUCAGGCCAGCAUCAGUUCGCCUGGGGGGAGAAAGGCGGCGGGAAUGUGGCUCUUCGGAGUGUUAUAGCCCGCCGUGUAAUACCCUCGGGUGGACUGAGGACCGCGCGUAUGCAAGGAUGCUGGCGUAAUGGUCGUCAGCGACCCGUCUUGAAACACGGACCAAGGAGUCGUCCUAAUAUGCGAGUGUACGGGUGUCAAACCCCUGCGCGUAAUGAAAGUGAACGGAGGUGAGAGCUUCGGCGCAUCAUCGACCGAUCCUGAUGUUAUCGGAUGGAUUUGAGUAAGAGCAUAUUGGGCCGGACCCGAAAGAAGGUGAACUAUGCCUGUGUAGGGUAAAGCCAGAGGAAACUCUGGUGGAGGCUCGCAGCGGUUCUGACGUGCAAAUCGAUCGUCAAACAUGGGCAUGGGGGCGAAAGACUAAUCGAACCUUCUAGUAGCUGGUUUCCGCCGAAGU
This 901-nucleotide ribosomal RNA is filed under the name Scopulariopsis candida. RNAcentral's name for it is "LSU rRNA". It matches the Rfam family "Eukaryotic large subunit ribosomal RNA", at positions 38 to 967 of the family's 3401-position model. The record is from RNAcentral. Lineage: Eukaryota; Fungi; Ascomycota; Sordariomycetes; Microascales; Microascaceae.